GACGAACGCUGGCGGCGUGCUUAACACAUGCAAGUCGAGCGGUAAGGCCCUUUCGGGGGUACACGAGCGGCGAACGGGUGAGUAACACGUGGGUGACCUGCCCUCAGCUCUGGGAUAAGCCUGGGAAACCGGGUCUAAUACCGGAUAUGACUCCACGGUGCAUGUCGUGGGGUGGAAAGCCUUGUGCGGCUGAGGAUGGGCCCGCGGCCUAUCAGCUUGUUGGUGGGGUGANGGCCUACCAAGGCGACGGACGGGUAGCCGGCCUGAGAGGGCGACCGGCCACACUGGGACUGAGACACGGCCCAGACUCCGUACGGGAGGCAGCAGGUGGGGAAUCUUGCGCAAGUGGGACGAAAGCCUGACGCAGCGACGCCGCGUGAGGGAUGACGGCC
RNAcentral lists this ribosomal RNA (392 nucleotides) under uncultured bacterium. Its description in RNAcentral is "bacterial SSU rRNA". It matches the Rfam family "Bacterial small subunit ribosomal RNA", at positions 28 to 416 of the family's 1533-position model. The record is from RNAcentral.